GAUGAAGAACGUAGCAAAAUGCGAUAAGUAAUGUGAAUUGCAGAAUUCAGUGAAUCAUCGAAUCUUUGAACGCACAUUGCGCCCGCUGGUUUUCCGGCGGGCAUGCCUGUUCGAGCGUCAUUUCAACCCUCAAGCCCCCGGGUUUGGUGUUGGGGAUCGGCUCUGCCCUUCUGGGCGGUGCCGCCCCCGAAAUACAUUGGCGGUCUCGCUGCAGCCUCCAUUGCGUAGUAGCUAACACCUCGCAACUGGAACGCGGCGCGGCCAUGCCGUAAAACCCCAACUUCUGAAUGUUGACCUCGGAUCAGGUAGGAAUACCCGCUGAACUUAAGCAUAUCAAUAAGGCGGAGGA
Molecule: unclassified non-coding RNA, 349 nt
Filed under: soil metagenome
Description: partial contains 5.8S ribosomal RNA, internal transcribed spacer 2, and large subunit ribosomal RNA
Rfam family: 5.8S ribosomal RNA (bases 1-120)
Source: RNAcentral